GAGGAAUAUUGGGCAAUGCCCGCAAGGGUGACCCAGCAACGCCGCGUGGAGGAUGAAGGCCGUAAGGUUGUAAACUCCUGUUAGAGGAGAAGAACAGUACCGAUUGGAUCGGUAUUUGACUGUACCCUCAGAGAAAGCCCCGGCUAACUACGUGCCAGCAGCCGCGGUAAUACGUAGGGGGCAAGCGUUGUCCGGAUUUACUGGGUGUAAAGGGCGCGCAGGCGGGAUAGCAAGUCAGAGGUGAAAUCCUACAGCUUAACUGUAGAACUGCCUUUGAUACUGUUAUUCUUGAGUUCGGGAGAGAGAGACGGAAUUCCAGGUGUAGUGGUGAAAUACGUAGAUAUCUGGAAGAACACCAGUUGCGAAGGCGGUCUCUUGGUCCGAUACUGACGCUGAGGCGCGAAAGCGUGGGGAGCAAAC
RNAcentral lists this ribosomal RNA (420 nucleotides) under uncultured bacterium. Its description in RNAcentral is "bacterial SSU rRNA". It matches the Rfam family "Bacterial small subunit ribosomal RNA", at positions 356 to 773 of the family's 1533-position model. The record is from RNAcentral.